UGGAGGUAGGCAGACGGGAUGGGGUAGUACGGGAUGGGGUAGACAAAUGGCAAAGGAUAAGACAAAGUAUAAGAUAGGAUGGGAUGGGACAGAUGGAAGGGAGGAAGGAUAGUAAAGGGGGAGGGAAGAAAACUCACAUAUAAUGAAUGGAUAAAUAAAGAAUGAAUGUGAAGAGAGAUAAAGAACAGGGGGAAGAAGAAAUUAACAAGUGAAUGAAUAAUUCUGGAAGCUGAUGGAGAAAAAUAAUUGGAAACAUAAGAACAUGCAAAGAAACGAGAAAAUUCUAGCCAGGCACAGCAGUGCACACCUGUAAUCCCAGUGGCUCAAGAGGCUGACGCAGGAGGAUCUUGAGUUCAAAUUUAGCCUCAGCAAAUUAGUUAGGCCCUAAGCAACCCUGUCUCAAAAUUUUAAAAAACAUAAAAUGGUUAGGGAUACAGUUCCAUGAUUAAGUGACCUUGGGUUCAAUCCCUGGUACCAAAAAGAAAUAAGAAAAGAAAGAAGGGAGGAAGGGAAGGAAGGAGGGAGGGAGGGAGGGAGGGAGGAAGGAAGGAAGGAAGGAAGGAGAAAAUUCUUUAAAAACUUUCACAUUUUCAGUGUGUAAAAAUUCAUCAAGAUUAUGUUGCACAUACUUGUGACAUGUGUACAUUCCUGUAUGUAUGUUGUCAUUGUUUUAAAAAGACUGUCUACCUAGCAGGUCCCAGUGGGGAGUAGAAUCUCUCUCCCCAACUAAUGCCAACAGGGGGAGCUUGGCAGUAUGAGGUGGCGACCUGCUUUUGCUGAGAUGGUGGCAGUGGGUCCCAAUGGCAUAUUCACCCCCACCUGGAUCUGUGUCCUGCCUCCGAACAGAAGGCUGCCUGUAACAGAGGGUACAAGAGGAUCCAGAGUCUCACAGCACAAUACCCAAAAUGUUCAGGAUACAAUCAAAAAUCACUCACCACACCAAGAACAAGUAAAAUUCUAACUUGAGUGGGAAAAUAAUCAACAAUACAACAUCAAUAUGACACAGAUGCUGGGAUUACCUAACAAGGGUUUUUAAGGAAACUAGCAUAAAAAUUCUUCAGUAAGCACGAUGAACAUGCUUGAAAUACAGAAAAAAUAUUUUUAAAGUCUCACCAAAGAAAUAGAAGAUGACAAAGAAGAAAACGCCUGGGCAUGGUGGUGUCAGCCCCUAAUCCCAGCUAUUCAGAAAGUGGAGGCAGAAGGAUUGCAAGUUUGGGUCUAGCCUGGGCAACUUAACAAGAUCCUGUCUCAAAAUAAAAAUAGAUACAUAAAAAGGUAGCUCACCUGGGCAUGGUGGUGCACACCUGUAAUCCCAGCAGUUUGGGAGGCUAAGGCAGGAAGAUCACAAGUUCAAAGCCAGCCUCAGCAAGUUAGUGAGGCCCUAAGCAACUUAGUGAGACCCUGUCUCAAACUAAAACAUAAAUAGGCUGGUGAAUGGGCUUACCAAAAAAGAAGAAGAAGAAGGAGAAGGAGAAGGAGAAGCUCAGUACUAGGUAUUUCUACCACUGAAGGAUAUGGUAGAGCAACUCUGGGCUCAACUCCCAGCACUACAAAACAAAAAGCAAAAAUAAAAAUAAUAGAAACACAGCAAAUGAAAAUUUUAGAACAGAAAUAAUAAUAAAUAAAUGCAACUGAAAUAAACAAAUCAAUAUGAAUAUGACUAUGAGAGAGGAAAGAAUCAGUGAACUCAAAGAUAGAACCAUAGUAUUACUCAGGAUGAACAAACAGAGAGAAUAGACUAAAAAGAAAUGAACAGUUUCAGGAGCCUGAGAGAUUAUAAUAAAAGACCUUACAUUUAUAUUAUUGUAGUUCAAGAGGGAUAGAAGAAAGGGUAUGGGACUGAAAAGGUGUCCAGAGAAAUUCUGGCUGAAAACUUCCCAAGUCUGGUGAAAGAUACUAAUCUACAGAUUCAAGAAAAUGAGCAACCCCAAACAGGAUGAACCCAAAGAAAUUCACAUCAAGAUGUAUCAUAAUCAAUGUUCAAAAAAGAAAAAAAUCUUGAAAGUUUCAAGAGAGAAAUGGCCCAUUGUCUACAGACUUCCCAUCAAAAACCAAGCAGGCCCAAGGGAACAGGUACGACACUUUUCAAAGAUUGAAAGAAACACUGCCAACUCAGAAUUCUGUACCCAGCAAAAAUAUUCUUGAAGAAUGAAGAUGAAAUGAAAAUGUUCUAAGAGAAUUUGUCACCAGCAGACAAAAGAUGGAGAAAUUUCUUCAUACAGAAAGGAAAUGAUAAAAGAAAGAAAUGUGAAAUAUUAGGAAUGAAGAAACAACUGGGAAACAAUUUCAAAAUGUGGGUCAACAGUUAUACCAUGUCUUGGUAUUUACCCUGAAGAACUAAAGUCAUCUUAACGAUAGUGAUACAUGCAUACCCACUUUUAUAGCACCACAAUUCAGAAGAGCCAAACUAUGGAACCAUUCUAGGUAUCCAUCAAUGGAUGAAUGAAUAAAGAAAAUGUGGCACAUAUACACAAUGGAGUUUUAGUCAACCCUAAAGAAAAAUGAAAUUAUGGCAUUUGCAGGGAAAUUAUGGCAUUUUGCAGGAAAUUCCUAAAUUCAAGACACAUUUUGUGCCUUGUUGUUUUCUUUGAUUUCUUGUCAACAUGCAGGAACUAGAGACCAUCAUGUUAAGUGAAAUCAGUCCAACUCAGAAGGUUAAGGGUGGUAUGUUUUCUCUCAUAUGCGGAAGCUAGAGAGGAAAAAGGAAAACAUCAGUGGGAUGCAAAUCCUAAAAAUCAAAGGGAGUAGAAGAAAGGGACCAAGGGCUGGGAGGCAGGGAUGGAGAGAGGGGUAAGUGCCGGGGAGUGACAUUGGCCACUGGUGUUGUUAUAUUGUGUUCCUGUACAAAUACGUAACAACAAAUCCCAUCAGUAAGUACAACUAUAAUGAACCAAUAAAAAAUGUGGGGAAAAAAAGCAGUUCCACAUGACAGGGUCGGCUUCUCUUCCCUGGAGCAGUGUCCCAGGGACUUGAAAGAUCCUGAGCACAGCAACUGGAUGCCACCAAGAGACCAAGUCAAGAAGCACAUUAGAGGCUGUUUGAGCCUCAAGUGGAGAUCAAGCCUCACCGCUGCCUGCCAGCUAAUGUGGGAGGUUUUCUGUGGCUUGACGCUGACAGCUUUCUAACUGAUAAGACAGCUUGCUCACUGAGACUCUGUGUCCUGUCACAGACACGUGUGCGGAGGAGAAGGCAGUGACUGAAAGGUCUCUAGGAAGCCUCAUCACGAGGCUGAGAACCUAAUUCCACCGGGACUAGCACAAUCAAACCCUUGGUGUGGACUUCGAAUAACCUUUCCCAUCACGUUAGAGCUGCCCUCCAAGGAGGAAGGCAAGCAGGUGGGGACAGAGGUGACCUGCCUGAGCAAGAGCCUGGGGGCAGGUGCAGGGGGAAAUGCCAAGUCAGAGUUCAGAUCUGCUUUCUUCCCCAACACACAGGAGGAAAGGUGUCAGCAAACCACAGCCCACCCAGAGGGAGGAGGAUGUGACAGCCAGCAAGGGAGGGGCUCCAGACCGCAUCCCACAAGCAACAGCGAGGACAUAGAGAGAGACUCAGAGGGGGAUGCGAGCGCACCAUUCAGCCAUUGGCAAAAUAACAAGCCCCAGUGGAUUGGGUUUGGCCACGUGGUUCCAGGAACUGGAAUGCUAAUUAAUGGGUGUGCAGAAUCAACUUCUUAACAAAUGGCUCUAAGGAUGGACUUUCACAAAAUACAGUGCAUCCUCCAUCCUUAGAGGUGUCCAAGAAGCCUGGCAGCAAACCUCCAACUUCCCAGACCUCAACCCCACCAAGAACCUUUACAGCUCAGGGAUUCUGGAAUAUAGUGGAAAUGAAAGGUAAAGUCCCCAGAAUCCAAGUGGAUCUUGUGUUCUAUUCUGACUACUCUGGAACCAUACCCUUGGCCAGACUUUUCCAAAAUGUGUUUUGUGGGACAAAUGUGAAUGCAAAAAGAAAAGGUUCUAAUGCUAUAGAAAGUUUGGGAAGCAUGGGCUUAAAUAACAUUGCUCUAGCUUUAACUCUCAGAGCCUCUAAUAUGCUCUAGGUAUUUUGAUACUCCCAAAGGGGUAGCAUAUGAAACAAUUUCCAAAUCUGCAUGACUAUAAAGACCUGGGUGUUUAUAAUAUAUUUCUGAAGACCAGAGUUUUAAAGCACACACAAUAUGAAAAUCUGCUCUAAUCUAUUUCAAAGUUUCUAAGGCAACUAGUCCAGAACUUGAGCACAACCAAAUAACAAAUUCAUCCUCCAAUUCAAUAAUAUUGUACCUCUUGGGACCCUCUCGAAAGAUCAGAUCUGUAGUCAAGAUGUAUACUCUCUCUCUUCAGCUGGUCCAAGAACACUCUCAUGACUUCUCUCCAGAAAAGACAUCACAAGCCACAGGGGAAGAAAAAGCAGUCAGAGAAAGAAAUACCCCAGAGAAGAUGGAAAACCAGCUUCAAUGACAGGAGAAAAAGAGAGAGAGAAUAUCUUCUCACCUCAGAAGGGUGGACGGGGACCCCACGUGCACCCCAUCAAUCCCUUCUCUGAACUACCACCAAACACAAGCCUGUCUGUGCAUUUCGUCCUCUCUGGACUGUGACUGACAAGCGCAGCUUCUGGCUGUUACCUGAGCAGCCAGCCGUCAGGUUCCAGUCUCGGGGCCUGCUGGUCUCCAGUGCGCUCACACCAUCAGCCCGGGCUUCCUGGGAGGGAGCGGGACGGGAGAGGACAAGCACAUCCCCCUCAAGGAGACCAGCCAGGACUGGCCAGAGAGAGAGCAGCCCAGUGAUUUCUGGGCCCUGGUUCUGUUUGAUGGGAAUGGAAAGAAAAGACUCUUGUUUCUCUCACUGUUCGCCUGGGUGACAGUUACCAUGGAUAUAAAUCAAUUUUUGGAGCCUGUCAGUCGCCAGUUGAAUAUAAAGAGCCUGCUCCUACAGAACCACAGGCAGGCAGGCAGAGACACACUCAGGGACGAAGGCGGACUCAAAUUCAGGUAUGGACACAGGAGUGGACACAGGCAGGCGCCUGGCUCCCCCCCUCCCAGGAAGAAGUAACUUGACUAGGUACUAUGUCACUAGUACGCAGGACACCCAGAACUCUGAAGGACACCCUCCAGAAUGACCAAAGAAAGUAUCCAAAAUGAGCCCUGAGAGUGGGCCUCCUAAUGCCUUGAUUUUUUUUUUUUUUUUUUUUUGGUACCAUGGAUAGAACCCAGGGACACUUAACCACGGAGCCACAUCCUCAGCCUUUUCUUUGUGUUUUAUUUUGAGACAGGGUCUCACUAGUAGCCGUUGCUACUAAUGGCUCCAAAUUGAAACUCUCCAAACCUGCACUAGCUAUUGGCAGCAUAGGCACUUUUCAUACUGACUCAUUUACCCUACAACAAACCUUGGGGUGGAUCCUCUUGUUAUCCCCACUAUUCAGAUGAGAAAAUUGAGGCUUAGAGAGGUCUCUCGACUUGUACUGGUGGGGUCAGGAUUAAAACCCAGACUGUCCUGUUCUUUAGCAGUUGACAUACAUGGUCAGGACUUCCGGGAUCCAGACCCAGCUUCAUCCCUGAGGCCUCAGGCAAAUCAUUACAAUUCCUGGAACCCCACUUUCUCACCCCUAAAAGGGGAAUAAGAAUAUUUCCCCUGUUUAUGUCCUAGCACUGUUAUAGGAAUCAUAUAUAAGGCAAUCCAAAUGGAGAGAAAGCAAGAGAACAGAGGAAGUCAACAUUCAUUAAGUACCUACUGUGUGCCAGGGCAGUCACAUGAUUUUUGUGGAUGAUGACUUAUCUCUAAUUCUGCAAGCAAGGAUAGAAACCCAGGAAGAAAGCAGGAGUCAAAGACCUCCAGGGGGCUGGGGAUGUGGCUCAAGCGGUAGCGCGCUCUCCUGGCAUGUGUGCGGCCCGGGUUCGAUCCUCAGCACCACAUACAAACAAAGAUGUUGUGUCUGCAGAAAACUAAAAAAUAAAUAUUAAAAAAAUUCUCUCUCUCUCUCUCUCUCUCUCUCUCUCUCUCACUCUCACUCUCUCUUUAAAAAAAAAAAAAAGACCUCCAGUGUCAGGAAGCCCAAGAGUCUGGAUUCCAACAGAGGUCUGUUUGUUUCCAAAAUGUUUGGUUUUUGUGUUGCUUUUUCUUUUUUCUUUUUGUUUUGUUUUUGUUCACCAGGAUGUCACAGGCAUGAAAACUAAUGACCCAUGUCCCCUUAGGCCUUUUGUCUUCUGGAAUCCUCAUUUGCUCCACGAGUUUGGGUGUGUCCUGACUCACUGGCCACAGAAAGACUGCAACUUCCCACUUCUGCACCAAAGCCCCUGCUUCUCACCCUGCUACCACCCCCACUGCUGCUGCCCCACAUGCUGCCAGACAGCCACAGAUGCUGUGUGGCUCUGGGCAAAGCCCUUGACCUCUCAGAUACCAGUAACCUCAUAUCUAAAUGGGGCUAGAACCAGCACUGAAGAUCUCCAUGGCAAAACUCAAAGCCUCUCCCUACCCUGAGGUGGCUGGCCUGCUGCACACACCUGGCUCGAAGCUCAGCUGCAAUCCUGCUGAAAUGUCUCCGUGCCCAGGUUGUCCUGAGGCUUCAUUGUUAAACACAGGUGGACACUUGUUGUCCUCUCUGAGAACAGUGGAUAGCUCAUUCUUGUGGUGACAGUAAAGAGCAAAUAUCCCAUAUUCAUCUCAUGCUGAUCUUCCUCACAGGGCUACCGGCAGCCAGCCUCCUCCAUCCGUCCAUCCCAACCAGCUGGCUUUGAAGCAUUGACUGCCCAUGGCAGAGCAAUGGCCCUUUAAGGGCAACACAGGGCACUGCUUCCCUGGCAGCAUGUUCAGCACACACGCUGUUCCUAGGGUGCGUAUGGUGGGAGCAGGAGGGUAAGAGUAUAAAGGAACGAGAUGGCCUCAUGGCAGAUUACAGGCAGGGGAGAGGAGAGAAAGACGGAGGGGGAAAGAGAAAGAAAGAACUGCUCAGUUAUGUGUUUGAAUGUGGUUGGUCCCCACCCCAAACCCAUGUCAAAAUGCAAUCCCCAUUAUGAGAUAUUCAGAGUGCAGACCAGGUGGGACCUUUAAGAGUCAAUUAGGAGCUGGGCAUGGUGGCCCAAGCUUGUAAUCCCAGCGGCUCAGGAGGCUCAUAAAUUCAAAGCCAGCUUCAGCAAUGGUGAGGCACUAAGCAACUCAGUGAGACCCUGUCUCUAAAUAAAAUACAAAAUAGGGUUAUGAUUGCUGUAUGUAUAUAGGUGACUCUAUGACCAGUGUGAUUCUGCAAUCUGUACAAUCAGAAAAAUGAGAAAUUAUACCCCAAUGAAUCAAAUGUAUGAAUUGCCAAGAUCAUUGUAAUGUCAUGGGUAGCUAAUAAAAAAUAAAUUAAAAAAAUAUGAAGGGUUAAAAAAAAUACAAAAUAGGGCUCAGUGGCUGAGUGCCCCUGAAUUCAAUCCCUAGUACCAAAAACCAGAAAACAAAACACAAGGCGAUUAGGGCUUUGCCCUCAUGAAUGGACUAAUCCAUUUACAUAAUUAAUGGAUUAAUGUGUUAUUUCAACUAUAAAAGUCAGUUUGGUUAGGUCUCUCACCAAGUGAUGCCCUAUGCCACCCUGGGACUCUGCCAGCAAGAAGGCCAUUGUCAGAUGUGGGCCCUUGACCUUGGACCAGGACCAUGAGAAAAAUAAACUUUUUCCUUUAUCAUUUAUAGAGGCUGAGAUGUUGUGUUAUCAGCAACAGAAAAUGCACCAUGACAACAGCCCUGUCUAGAAUUUGCUAUGUCAAGGAAAAAAAAUGUCAAUUUAACUAUUAAAGAGAGCCUCUUGAUGGGGAAUAAAUGAAGAUGGGGGGACACAUGUUCUUAAGAUUGGAAGGUGGGCACUGUGAGGUGUGCCUAUGGUUCUUGCCCUCGGGAGACUGAGGUAGAAGGAUCACAUCCCAGAAUUCCAGACCAGCCCAAGCAGAGAGACCCUGCCUCCAACAAAACAAAAACUUUAAAAUGCAGAUUGAAAGUGACUUUGAAAUUGAUGACUGGCUGACUCUAGGCCUUGAUCUAAUUUCGUAACAUCCCUGAGGUUUUUUAUAAGUGUCUGCAUGGUGCUGGUCCCUGGUUACAGACUUCUAUUUCAUCUUCGUAGCCAUCCUCUGAGUUGCUCUUAUAUUCAUGUUGUAGAAGAGAGUACUGACCCUCACAGAGUGGCUUUCCAAAGACCACAGAGUAAGUGCGGGAGAUGGGAUCCUCGCCAUUCUAACUCCAGAGUUUCACAAUGCUCAAUUCAGGCAUAGGAAAAGCCCCGCUAGGGCAGCUUGUGCUAUAAGGGCCGGGAGGGGUGGGGGGCAUUUCACAGUAAGAGGCCACAGAGCUUUAAUUUGUACUAUUUUUUUGUUGUUGUUUAGCAGACUGACCCAUUUGUUUUCAUUGCUUUAUUUUUAAUAUUGAAAGAUCUGAUUAACAAAUAGUCCAGACAUGGGAACAUUUCUUAAAAUCUGAUAAUCCAUAAAAUAUUAUAUUUUUGCCCGUUUGCUUAAUGCUUUUAAUGACAAGCAACUUGAGAGCUUAAAAAUGUAAUAUUAAUUUUUAAUACAAUUUUUCUACUUACAGACUUAAAUUUGCACACUUGUAGACUUUGAUUUUUUUUAAAAAAUUGGCAUUGUUUAUGAAAUGUCUCAGACCAGAUGUUACAAAUGUCUCUGAAAUGCAGUAAGCUCUCCUGUGAAACCUAUAGGGUACAAAAUAUGGGUACCAUUUCUCUCUCCUGCACUCUUGGGGAACAGACAGCCCUUGCAUUAUAUGAUGCCUUGGGGUGGGGAUAGUAUGAUCUUAUUUUUGUGUGUAUAUAUGUGUGUGUGUGUAUACACACACACACACACACACAAACACAAACAAAAAGGAAAGUCUGGGAGAAUGUAUGCCAAAACAUUGAUUUUGCUUACAUCAGGAUGGAGGGUGUUAUGGUUUGGAUAUGAGGGGUCCUCCAAAAUCUCCUAUGGUGAUUCAGGGAUGUUCAGAGGUGAAAUGAUUGGAUUGUGAAAGCUGUACUUUGGUCAAUCCAUCCUACAGUGAAUGGACUGACUGUCAGGUGGUAACUGUAGGCAGAUGGGGCAUGUCUGGAGGAGGCGGGUCACUGGGGGUUCAUCUUCCCUGUGGCCUCUCCCUCCCUCUACUCUCCUACUCUCUGCUUCCUGAACACCCCCCCCCCAUCCCCUGCCAUGAGCUAAGCAGCUUUGCCCUGUGGUCCCUUCCCCCAUGAGGUACUGCCUCACCUUGGGCCCACAGCAACAGAGUCAGCCAUCUAUGGGCUGAGACCUCUGGAAUUGUC
Molecule: long non-coding RNA, 9246 nt
Filed under: Marmota monax (woodchuck)
Lineage: Eukaryota; Metazoa; Chordata; Mammalia; Rodentia; Sciuridae
Source: RNAcentral